ACAAUGAAGAGUUUGAUCCUGGCUCAGGAUGAACGCUAGCGGCAGGCCUAACACAUGCAAGUCGAGGGGCAUCACGGAAAAGCUUGCUUUUCUGGUGGCGACCGGCGCACGGGUGCGGAACGCGUAUGGAACCUGCCCCUGUCAGGGGAAUAGCCCAGGGAAACUUGGAUUAAUGCCCCAUGGUACCGUUAUAUCGCAUGAUAUUGCGGUUAAAGAUUUAUCGGACAGGGAUGGCCAUGCGUACCAUUAGUUAGUUGGUGAGGUAACGGCUCACCAAGGCAGCGAUGGUUUGGGGGCCUGAGAGGGGGAUCCCCCACACUGGUACUGAGACACGGACCAG
Molecule: ribosomal RNA, 340 nt
Filed under: Allomuricauda sp.
Lineage: Bacteria; Pseudomonadati; Bacteroidota; Flavobacteriia; Flavobacteriales; Flavobacteriaceae
Description: bacterial SSU rRNA
Rfam family: Bacterial small subunit ribosomal RNA
Source: RNAcentral